RNA transcript from Pungitius pungitius (ninespine stickleback), 1473 nucleotides. It is a transcript of the gene named N-lysine methyltransferase KMT5A-like, with no coding region annotated. The transcript is spliced from 7 exons. The record is from RefSeq and is a predicted model, not a curated record. NCBI's taxonomy places the organism in Eukaryota, Metazoa, Chordata, Actinopteri, Perciformes, Gasterosteidae.
AUCGCUCCUUGGUUUAACAUACGGACGCUACAACGUGGAAAGUACCGUUAAUACCGUCUUUGGGGAAGAAGCCGUUGGGCUCCCGCGCGUUGGUCGCGACUGACGACAAUAAGGCUUGUGUUACACAAAAAGGAUAAGCGAUGGCUGCCCGUAGGUCCAGGCUGCUUCCGGUAUGGGACGCCAUCGAUUAUGCGGCCAAGGGCCUCGAUAAGAAUGCGGAAUUGGAAGUAAAGUACAUCAACUCCUUUAAAGGUCGAGGCGUGUUUGCCAAGGCUCCUUUCCAAAAGGGAGACUUUGUGGUGGAAUAUAGAGGGGUGUUAAUAAGCUCUGAAGAAUCUCAGAGGAGAAAAUCGAUCUAUCACGCCAGAUGCUCGGUCUUCAUGUUUGAUUUCUACUGCCGAGAAAAGGCAUGGUGUGUUGAUGCAGCUCAAGAAGAUGGCAGCCUGGGACGACUGGUCAACGAUGACCGUUACCAUCCCAACUGCAAGAUGAAGAAGGUCAUCACCGAUGGAAAGCCACACCUCUUUCUCUUUGCUCUGAGGGACAUCGCUGUCGGGGAAGAGAUAACUUAUGAAUAUGAUGGAAAAUACUAUCCAUGGAGGAAACAGGAAUCGGAUGGACCAGAACAUCGUCUUCCAAUGAAAAUAUGACUCUGAGUUCUGACUCUGAAGUUGACCUCGCCGAAGACGAGUCGGAUUCUGCCCCACAGCGGAGGAGGCCCCAAAACCAAACGGAGAAGGAUUCUAGUGACUCAGACCUGAUGUGGUGAUCCCGUCACAAACUGAGUGAGCUGGAGGACAACCUCUCCUUCGAGGAGCAUUCGGUGCGUAGCGGCCUUCGGUGGCAAAACGAACCAACACCCGCAAGACACUGCGUCAAACGGCCUGGGGAGAUUUGGAGGCGCGCUCAGACGGAUUGACCGGAGCAGCGCUCUGCACGGGGCAAAUUGGGAACAGCUGGUGGUGCCGACAGGAUUUCAGAAGUGUGUGUUUAGCGCCCCCCCACUCCCCCAGAGGCGGAGCUGAUCGUCAUGUUUCUACAUCAGCUCAGAGCGGACAAAAACCACCUGAGUCAUUAUUUCAUUUGCCUUUAUAUUUACUCUUUGUAUAUAUGCGUGUUAAAAAACCAACAACAACCGUACCUGUUAAAAGUUUGAAGUAUGGAAGUAAAGAUAUAAUGACUUUUUAUCUUUUGUUUUGUUGGAACACCCCUUUUAAAUCCCUCCAGCUUUCUGUUCUCCCCCUCUUACAGCUGUUAGGGCGCCACGUCAGUUGAUUUGCGCGGAGGGGGGAGGGGGGUAGUUUAAAGAGCUCUGUAUAUGGUGGUCUCCAGCAGCACGGUCCAUAUCCCAUUAUCAGACCUGGAUGCAGAUGUGAAACUCUUACAGAAUCAAAGGGCCCCUUCAGCUCUCACUGGAUCCUCGCCGGUAGCACAGGGUGGUUCAUUUCACGUGAUUCACGAUUCACAUUGAUC